UCUCACUCGCUUGGAGUAGCUGCCGCUGUUCGCUGUUCUCUGUUCCUGAGCUGAGACCAGGGCGCGCCCUGCUUUCCUCCUUCCCUCGGUUGCUGGCAGCCCUGUGCACCUUACGGAGGCUGAAUGACGGGCCUGUGUAGGGCCAGCAGCUGCUUGGGACUCUCCGGGAGCUGAGCCCCUGCCAAAAAGAGAUUGGCAGCGGGGCACCCUCAGUCAAGGCUUGUGGACCUCCAGGGACGGCCCCGCCCCCCGGAGGGGACAGCUCGGGGGGCCAUGUCGGCCAACUUGAGCCACAACAUUCUAAGCAACUCCACUCAGAGGGGUGAAGCCUGGAUGGUGGGCUUGGGCAUUGUCAUGUCUACCAUAGUCCUGGCCACUGUCUUUGGCAAUGUGCUGGUUAUCACAGCUAUCGCCAGGUUCCAGCGUUUGCAGACUGUCACUAACUACUUCAUCACAUCACUGGCUUGUGCUGACCUGGUUAUGGGACUGGCUGUGGUACCCUUUGGUGCCAGUCAUAUCCUCAUGGACAUGUGGACCUUUGGGAACUUUUGGUGUGAGUUCUGGACCUCCAUUGAUGUUCUGUGUGUCACAGCCAGCAUCGAGACCCUCUGUGUUAUUGCUGUGGACCGCUACUUCGCCAUCACAGCCCCGUUUCGGUACCAGAGCCUGCUCACCAAGGGCAAGGCCAGAGUGGUCAUCCUAGUGGUCUGGGUGGUAUCGGCCCUCACCUCCUUCCUGCCCAUUCAGAUGCACUGGUAUCGUGCUAGCCACAAGGAAGCUCUUUUGUGUUAUGAGAAGGAGACCUGCUGUGACUUCUUCACUAACCAGGCUUAUGCCAUUGCUUCCUCUAUCGUGUCCUUCUACGUGCCUCUGGUGAUCAUGGUGUUUGUGUACUCCCGGGUCUUUCAGGUGGCCAAGAAGCAACUUCAGAAGAUAGAUAAAUCUGAGGGCCGCUUUCACGUUCAGAACAGCAGCCAGAUGGAGCAGAAUGGAAGGACAAGUCACCGAAGGUCUUCCAAGUUCUGUUUGAAGGAGCAUAAAGCUCUUAAGACCUUGGGUAUCAUCAUGGGGACCUUUACUCUCUGUUGGCUGCCUUUUUUCAUUGUUAACAUCGUCCACGUGAUACAGGACAACAUUGUCCCCAAAUAUGUGUACAUUUUCCUGAACUGGGUAGGCUAUGCCAACUCAGCCUUCAACCCGCUGAUCUACUGCCGGAGCCCAGACUUCAGGUAUGCCUUUCAGGAACUCCUUUGUUUCAGGAGGUCAGCCCUGAAGCUCUAUGGCAAUGGCUAUUCCAGCAACAGCAAUGGGAGGAGUGAGCACAAUGGGGAGCAUGGGAGCUAUCCCACUGAGCAGGAGAAGGACAUCGAGCUGCUGUACGAAGACCUCCCAGGCACUGAGGGCUUUUUGAACUGUGCAGGUACUGUGCCUAAUGCUAGCGCCGACUUAGAGGGCCAGGAUCAGACUCUGGAUGAUACCCCCUUGUGACUGUCCCUCUGGUUGGUAAAAACCCUCAGCAAAUCAAGCAAGGUUGGGAAAAAGAAUAAAAAAACAAUUUUUAAAAGAACAACCACCACAAAAAAUCCCCCAACAACAACAACCCAUGGCAAACCCCCAAACACUAAGCCUACUCUUUAACUCAUGAGCUAGAAAUGUCUAGUCAGCCUGUGGAGAGAUGGGCAGGAGGGAGGACAGUCAGACUAUUUAUUGAUUUUAAGUUAUCAGGAAACAAAACAACUUACCCACUGGUUCUAGGGAUUCCUCAUUUCUGUAACAGUUGGGUUCUGCCCAGAAUGGAGUUUGGAAGUGUAUAUUCUACUUCAAGGGUCUCAGGCCUUGAGGACCUGGUUCUGGUUUGGAUGGUUUUUUUCAUAGAUCUACCUCAUUUGUCAAGUAUUAGGGUUAGCAUACUUCUACUUGGGACUUCUAUCUGGAGGAGCAGGCCUUCCCCCUGGGCCUCUUGGAUGCUCCAGCUGGACCUGGCUGUCAAUGUGGAUUCGUCUCCUCCUCUUAUUUGCUCACAUGGGCUGUUGGAGGCAGGGACACAGAGGGGGCAGCUUCUGCUGUUGAAUGAGCAAAGUCUAAAGUUUACAGUAAAUAAAUUGUUUUGCUGUGACAUCAUUGCACCUGUUUGUCCAAAACCCCCAGCGGAACAUUCUUGUUGGAAACCACAGAGAGCCCAGACCAUCCUGGGACAGUUGAAAGCUGAAUGAGCUGUAUUUUCUCCUGUUUUCCUGGGAGGGCAAGCGUUGACCCUGGGGACUGCUACCUCGUGGUGCUGCCUGCCUCCAGGUACGUGCCUGCAGUGACUUCCUUUCUGCUACUGGAAAGAUGACGGAGAAGCUCAGGAUCUGAAGGCAAAGGAGCAGUGAGCCAUGGAAGGAGAUAAUCUGGAAGGAAGAUGCCGGUCAAGAGCCAGGAGAUGAGGGUGAACCAGGAAACUGCAAGCUGCUGCAGCCAGAGAUCUCCAAACACCAAGGUCUCUAGGAAGGAGAAGAGGGCUAGUGUGGGCUUCCCUGGCCCACCUAACCCGAGGACAGGGACAUGACGCCUCGACACUCCAGGGAUUUUCUUUCUUUAUUAUUAACAAGUUCAUGGGAGUCAGCUUGAACUGGCCUCAUAAUGGGACUCAGGGGACAGCAGGACCCAGAUGGGCUGUGUUGUCAAGUUUGAAAAAAAUAAUCAUUUUAACAUAAA
RNA transcript from Dromiciops gliroides (monito del monte), 2697 nucleotides. It is a transcript of the gene named adrenoceptor beta 2, with no coding region annotated. The transcript has 2 exons. NCBI's taxonomy places the organism in Eukaryota, Metazoa, Chordata, Mammalia, Microbiotheria, Microbiotheriidae. The record is from RefSeq and is a predicted model, not a curated record.